GGGCGGUUAGCUCAGUUGGAAGAGCGGCUGGUUUACACCCAGUAGGUCGGCGGUUCGAACCCGUCACCGCCCACCA
This 76-nucleotide transfer RNA is filed under the name Amphiplicatus sp. RNAcentral describes it as "tRNA-Val". It matches the Rfam family "tRNA". From Rfam's summary of the family: Transfer RNA (tRNA) molecules are approximately 80 nucleotides in length. The record is from RNAcentral. RNAcentral also lists the same sequence under 1 other name. Lineage: Bacteria; Pseudomonadati; Pseudomonadota; Alphaproteobacteria; Parvularculales; Parvularculaceae.